Lepisosteus oculatus (spotted gar) is the source of this 3671-nucleotide long non-coding RNA. RefSeq lists it as uncharacterized. The record is from RefSeq and is a predicted model, not a curated record. NCBI's taxonomy places the organism in Eukaryota, Metazoa, Chordata, Actinopteri, Semionotiformes, Lepisosteidae.
UGUACGUUGUGUGAAGCAUGUAAUGGCUACAAUUGUAAUGGCACAUGUUUACGUGCAGAACAGUCAUCCAUGAUAAUCUGACCUCUUCCCUUCUCUGGUAACGCAGCUCAGUGGGAAGGUUCAAGGCAGCAGUGUGCAGGAGUGGUCAGGGCACUGCACUUACACUGGGACGGCAGAGGGCUCAAUAGCAGCCAGCAGUGAGCAGACCCUCAUGAAGAGCGAGCGCCCGGGGAGCACACUGCCAGCCACCACGCCGCGGCCCAGCCUCUGCACAGGGGCCAGGGGAAGAGCAGGUGUCUGCGUUUCCUGCUGACUCCCCCAGGCCCGGUCGUUGCUGAGGGCCAAGGCCCCUCUGUGCUGAAGUCUGCCCUCUCUGUAACCCAGCCCUGGGCAAGCAGGCUACUGCUCCACCAACUUCUCUUACAAAAGGAUCAAAUUAGCUAACAAGGGAAGCUGGAUCAUCUCAUAUUCAUGCAUUUACAGACUGAAAACAUGAACGACAGCUCUUUAAAUCAUACUGUAUGUGCCAAGGACAGACAUGGAGGAAAAGUGCUAGUGCACAUUAUUACUCCUAAGUGUGUGUGUAGAAGUCACUCCUCGCCUGCUCACCUCCCAGUGAACUCCCCAGCCUCGGCAGACAGGGAUUUCUCUCCGCUACGCUGAGGCCGUUUCUCGAGUGCAGCGCGAGUUCAGGGAGCUGUCUGAGGAGAGCAGGAACACGUGACAGGAUGGCUGCGAUGGUACGAAUGCAGCCCUGACGAUGGCGGGCCACAACACCUGGCUGGUCAUUAUUUCACUGGCAAGCAAACAACCGAACCAAAAUAAGAACAAAAAAGCACUUUUGCUGACAGCAGGGAGCUCUGCGACAGCAGAGAGACAGGCAGGCUACAGCGUUGUGCUGGGUUCAAUCUGACUGGGCUGCCAGGGACAGCCGCACUCCGAAUGCUAAGCAGAACAGAUACUUUUUUAAUAACUCUGUUCCUGUCUCUCAUAAUGGCCGGGGAAUUACAUCACUGUGUCUUAGCACUCCCACAGCUAAAAGUUCACCCUUCUCUAUAAUUUAAGUUCCAUUACCAUUCAGUAACUAGUGCUGGAGUUGGCUAUUAUAAGAAAGCAGCACAAAAGUUUUUGAGGUGUAUACUGCAUAAUGACUUAAUGGCAUGAAUUGUGACAAAGAAGUCAGCUCCCGAAUGACACAAAGAAAGGUACUCAGCUCCCAUCAGCUGCCCAAGCUCUCUCAAUUCAAGGAACUUUGACUAAUUUUCAGUUGUCAUAAAGGCCUCAGUUUCAGUGUCAGGCUCUUCCUCCAUAGGCAGUGUAACAUUUUCCAUGCUGAAUAGGUAGAAAUUACAAAAUAAAAAGCCUGAAAAGUGCAGAAUGAUUUCAGACCCAAAGCUUUUUGAAUGGGUUGAACUAACUCCUCAGUGGCUACACUGUCCUGCACAGCCACAAAACAUCAAGGAUGGUCUGCAGCUGUCGCUGAACCUAGUGGACUCUUGCUAAUAUCCCAAGUGUCUUGUACAGAGUUCUACCAUUUCCUACAGAAACACAGGAGACUGAGAGAGAAUAUGUUUUUCUUCUACCCUUGUCAGUGCUAUGUACCUGCUGCAUCUGUAGUGUAUUGUCUGUUAGUGUACUUGGUGAAUAGUGUAAUUUACCUGUCAUGCCAAUGAAGCCCUUUGAAUUGCACUGCAUAACAGAGAGACUCACACAGAGACAGAAGGACAGAGAUGUGUUGAGCUUCCAACCCUGCAAUUUUAGCUCCUUUAUGUUUUUUUUUACUAUCAUCACAAAGAAAAUAUACGUUUCUGUCUGGUCUGGUAUAUCACUUCUCUUAUCUGGUUAAUGGAGAUUCUCAAGCACUUCAGGAAGCACGAACAAGAGCUGUUUGGUUUGCAUCAGGCGCAGGAGCCUGUCUGUGGGACGGGCUUUUCUCUUGUUUUCUCAUGGCUUGUUUGUCGCCUUCAUUCCCAUCAUACCUCUUCUUGAACUACAAUGCAGCUACAGAGACCGGAGCAGGAGACCGAGUAAAAACGGGAUCUGUUUGUUCAGCUGUUUCCUGAUACUGUCCUCCCCACAGGCUGUCUGGGGGCUGAGGUACCAGUCUGGUCACUGUCUGUCUGCUGGGGUGAACUUUCACAGAAGCUUCCAGACAAGAUGAAAAUACAAGUCGCAUCAUGUGAGAGCUGAAGAGCCAACGGGGAGGCAUUCCAACAUUUUCACAGAUUUGUAUUUGCUCCCAUCUUCUUAAACCAGCUGUAAAAUUGAAGCAAAAAUGGAUGACAGUGAUGAAAAGUAACAUUUUGUUUGCUGAAAUCUGCGUUUUUACCGCGGAGCCAGCCUGGCAAAGGUGGAUCACAUUCUGCACGAGCGAAAAGGCCUUGAAAGUCAUCUCAUUAACCUUUUGAGUGGACAGCAGCCGAAGGCUGAGCUGAUCCAGGCUCCUCACAGAGCUCCAGUGCAUAACGAGGUGGUUCCCUGCAGCUCCUCCAGAGCAGCCACGGGCCCUGUUCCCUGUGCAGAGGAGGGGUCAGGACACAGAGUCAUGCCUCACAGGAGGAGCAGCUCUGCACAGGGCUCAGAGACAGAGAUCAGCACCUGAAACUGGGAUGUCCUACUGGAACCAGUUGGCCGGGACCCUUCAAAACACCAGCUGACUCCUGGAUCACAAGCGACAUCCUGCAAGGCGGAGCCGGUUCCGGACCGUCUGGUCUGUGUGUCUGAGAAGCGAGGAGAGCAACAGGAAGUUUACACCAUCACGACAGAGCAGCUACGCUCCAGCCCUCCUCUCCACCGCGGGCGGCACCCAGGCCCACUGCAAGCGCCGCAGAGGAUCUGCUCAGCCCUCCCUUCACCGAGUCCGCAGGGCUGGCAGAGCCACGCUCCAGAAUCAUGACAGCUUUUCUCUGAAAGGUCACAGCUCCCCCUCCUCGUGCCAAGCCGGAGAGCAAAUAUUCAGAUGGAAAAUUAGUCUCCGGCUGGCAGCUAAUCUUGAGUCUGGAAAUUGGAAUGCCCUGUCAAAAAAAAAAAAAAAUACAAAUGAAACAAACAUGAUAGAUAUGUACACAUCAGCGAGAGGAAGAAAUGAGAAAGAAAAGGAAUGGAUGGCUUGAGAGAUUGCAUAUUGUUAUUUUUGUACUUUAGACAGACAAUCUGUAAUCAGCUUUCAGAUACCAUGUGGGUAAAGUCACUGACAAAGGGGCGUGAGUCAGGCCAGCUCCCGUCUCUGGCAACAGCACACGAGCCAGGAAACAAGAACGAUUUCACUGACCACUGCAAAGCCAAACACAGCUACUGAUCUAACGUAUAAACCAGCGUGCAACACAGAGCAGUCAUCUCCACAGCACCAGGGCUUCAACUGUUGGUCCAACAUGCACUGCGUCCGCAGGCUGGGGGACCCGGGCGCCUCUUUCCCCAGCUGGCACGGUGUGCGUCCCCCUAACAUACCGGAUUCCUUCUGCCAGCCUUCAUUUCCUGUACGGAUUUAGUCACGGACGCGUCGUACCCUGAAGAUGGAAAAAAAAAAACAAAACAAAUCAGAGCACAGACAUGUGGAGAACCUUUUGUGCCAAAAUAAUUUAUUAUUUCACUUGUUGACUCAUCAAUCCAUGUGCCAAUUCAUCCAUUCAUUUACUUCAUUCAUCUGUUGACAAAUUAAAUUAAUUCAUAAG